AUUUGGAAUGACAUGUAGGUGAGUAAAUGAUUUUCAGUACUUCAAUUUCUGGUUGAACUGUCCCUUAAAGACUCUACAGCCUAUUGAAAAGACAUAAAUGUAUUACUUACAACCUUGAUUUCAUUAAUCUCAAAGGAAAUACCCUCAAACUAAAUGUAAACAAGUCCGUAAAGCAAUGCUAACAUCUGCAAUCUGGUUGGUAAUACGUGAUUGGCACACUGGGCUAUAUCUUCCCGAGAACCCUGAUCUCUUGUGAAAAAACAUGGUAGCCUGUCCAUGCAGACAGAUCUGACUGUGUAAUGUAUUGACAGUUGAGCAGUCUACAUUAAGUGCAUACAUUGAAAACACACGUCUGUCAAGGGAGGGGGGUUAUUUAGGAGGAAGAUCAAUAGAAGGUUAAAUGACGGCCCUUCUUUGACUCUACAGGCCCAGCUAGAGCAAGGGGGAGUAGCUCUUCCGAACUCUCCCCCUCCUUUUCUCUUUCCCUACUGCUUCUGCAGCCAUCACACAUACUCAGCUUAGUUAGCCUGGGAAAAAGAGCCCCAAACCCCGAUCAAUAACUUUGGUCUUGUCUGCCUAAUUGCUCAUUGGUUGACAUUGGCACCCAGCUAUAUGUAAGUGCAUGUUCCUGGAGUGAUUCACUCUUCCCUUUCCUCUCUCUCUCCACCUCCCUCUCUUUACUCUCAAAAACGCCUCACGCCCUCUGUUCCUUCCUCUUCGCCACGUUUGGGAUGCCCGAACCACAGUUGUCACGUCGGGACGUGAGCAUCCAAAGGCUCCGGCAAGACCUGCUCCACUCUCAUCAGGCCCGUGACGCCCAGAGUGUUCAGCUGGACGUCCAAGAGCAGAGACUGCAGGAUCUGCAGCGAGAGCUGCAAGAAAGCCAGCAGGAGCUCCAGAGGAGACACGACCGCAACCAGCAGCUUCUCAGGUUGCUGCAAGAUGCCAGGAAGCAAGAUCAGGAGCUACAGGCUCAGGAAUGGUGUUGGCUCCGGAGGGCACAAGAGGACCUGAAAGCGAGAGAGGAGGAGUGGAGGAAAGAGAGAUCCUUCCUUCAAGAGCAGCUCGAUGGUGUCAGAGAGGAGCUCCACCAUGCCAAACACUCGGGGAAGAAGAGCAUCGGCUGAAAGUGCUGCAGAUUGAUGAACUCCAAAGAGAGGUUGACAUGACGCUGGCACUGCUUGAAAAGGAGAGAGAGGAUUGUGUAAAGGCCAAGGAGCUGGAACAACUGAGAGAAGAGCAACUCAAGGACAAGCUGGUAGAAGAGCAGUCCACAGUCUCCAGGCUGCAGCGUGAGCAACAGGAAGCAGAACAUCAGAGGGAUCUCCUGGGCACCAGAGUAGCUGCGCUGAACUGUGACAUCCAGCAGAAAGACUGCAUGCGGCUCACAGAGCAGGACGAGGUGUCCAGUAGAGAUGACCUGCAGGCGGCGGACCGCUCGAGAAUCUGACUGCUGCACAAGAGGAGGAAGAGGAGGUGAGGAACACCUGUCAAUCAUUUAGUCUUUGACAACUUUUAUAGGUGUCUGUGACAUAUACAGAUUGAAAAUACAGUGAUGUACACCUUUAUUGAAAAGUUGGGGGUCAGAUUCAGAGUCUCUUAUGCUCACCAAAGCUGCUUUAAUGAAAUAUUAUUACAGUAAAAAGUGAAAGUGACGUGACAUACAGCCAAG
This is a long non-coding RNA of Cyprinus carpio (common carp), 1672 nucleotides long. The record is from Ensembl. NCBI's taxonomy places the organism in Eukaryota, Metazoa, Chordata, Actinopteri, Cypriniformes, Cyprinidae.